This 433-nucleotide ribosomal RNA is filed under the name uncultured bacterium. RNAcentral describes it as "partial 16S ribosomal RNA". It matches the Rfam family "Bacterial small subunit ribosomal RNA", at positions 29 to 507 of the family's 1533-position model. The record is from RNAcentral.
AACGAACGCUGGCGGCAUGCCUAACACAUGCAAGUCGAACGAGACCUUCGGGUCUAGUGGCGCACGGGUGCGUAACGCGUUGGAACCUGCCCUUAGGUUCGGAAUAACUCCCCGAAAGGGGUGCUAAUACCGGAUAAUGUCUUCGGACCAAAGAUUUAUCGCCUUUGGAUGGGCCCGCGUUGGAUUAGCUAGUUGGUAGGGUAAAAGCCUACCAAGGCGACGAUCCAUAGCUGGUCUGAGAGGAUGAUCAUCCACACUGGGACUGAGACACGGCCCAGACUCCUACGGGAGGCAGCAGUGGGGAAUAUUGGACAAUGGGCGAAAGCCUGCUCCAGCAAUGUCGCGUGAGUGAUGAAGGCCUUAGGGUUGUAAAGCUCUUUUACCCGGGAUGAUAAUGACAGUACCGGGAGAAUAAGCUCCGGCUAACUCCGUG